Molecule: ribosomal RNA, 460 nt
Filed under: uncultured bacterium
Lineage: Bacteria
Description: partial 16S ribosomal RNA
Rfam family: Bacterial small subunit ribosomal RNA
Source: RNAcentral
CCUACGGGAGGCAGCAGUGAGGAAUAUUGGUCAAUGGGCGGGAGCCUGAACCAGCCAAGUCGCGUGAGGGAAGACGGUCCUAUGGAUUGUAAACCUCUUUAGGCGGGGAGCAAUGCCGGGCACGCGUGCCCGGAGGGAGAGUACCCGCAGAAUAAGCAUCGGCUAACUCCGUGCCCGCAGCCGCGGUAAUACGGAGGAUGCGAGCGUUAUACGGAUGUAUUGGGUGUAAAGGGUGCGUAGGCGGAUUUUUAAGUCAGCGGUAAAAUGUCCGGGCUCAACCCGGGCCGGCCGUUGAAACUGGUGAUCUUGAGUGGGCGAGGAGUAUGUGGAAUGCGUGGUGUAGCGGUGGAAUGCAUAGAUAUCAGGCAGAACACCGGUUGCGAAGGCAACAUACCGGCGCCCGACUGACGCUGAGGCACGAAAGCGUGGGGAUCGAACAGGAUUAGAUACCCGGGUAGUC